CACGCCUGGGACAUGCAAGUCGAACGAUGGUCUUCGGAUCAUAGUGGCGCACGGGUGCGUAACGCGUGGGAAUCUGCCCUGGGGUCUGGGAUAACCGUUGGAAACGACGGCUAAUACCGGAUGAUGAUGAAAGUCCAAAGAUUUAUCGCCCUGGGAUGAGCCCGCGUCGGAUGAGCUAGUUGGUGGGGUAGACGCCUACCAAGGCGACGAUCCGUAGCUGGUCUGAGAGGAUGAUCAGCCACACUGGGACUGAGACACGGCCCAGACUCCUACGGGAGGCAACAGUGGGGAAUAUUGGACAAUGGGCGCAAGCCUGAUCCAGCAAUGCCGUGUGAGUGAUGAACGCCUUAGGGUUGUAGAGCUCUUUUACCCGGGAUGAUAAUGACAGUACCGGGAGAAUAAGCCCCGGCUAACUCCGUGCCAGCAGCCGCGGUAAU
Molecule: ribosomal RNA, 437 nt
Filed under: uncultured bacterium
Lineage: Bacteria
Description: bacterial SSU rRNA
Rfam family: Bacterial small subunit ribosomal RNA
Source: RNAcentral